GCGAGCGUGACUUAUUGGCUGAGUUCCUGCCUUCCAAGCAGGCCAAGAGAGUUCGAUUCUCUCCGCUCGCUCCA
RNAcentral lists this transfer RNA (74 nucleotides) under Terriglobia bacterium. RNAcentral describes it as "tRNA-Gly". It matches the Rfam family "tRNA". Rfam says of the family: Transfer RNA (tRNA) molecules are approximately 80 nucleotides in length. Their secondary structure includes four short double-helical elements and three loops (D, anti-codon, and T loops). Lineage: Bacteria; Pseudomonadati; Acidobacteriota; Terriglobia. The record is from RNAcentral.